This 497-nucleotide ribosomal RNA is filed under the name uncultured bacterium. RNAcentral's name for it is "partial 16S ribosomal RNA". It matches the Rfam family "Bacterial small subunit ribosomal RNA", at positions 28 to 507 of the family's 1533-position model. The record is from RNAcentral.
GACGAACGCUAGCGGCGUGCCUAAUACAUGCAAGUAGAACGCUGAAGAGAGGAGCUUGCUCUUCUUGGAUGAGUUGCGAACGGGUGAGUAACGCGUAGGUAACCUGCCUUGUAGCGGGGGAUAACUAUUGGAAACGAUAGCUAAUACCGCAUAACAAUGGAUGACACAUGUCAUUUAUUUGAAAGGGGCAAUUGCUCCACUACAAGAUGGACCUGCGUUGUAUUAGCUAGUAGGUGAGGUAACGGCUCACCUAGGCGACGAUACAUAGCCGACCUGAGAGGGUGAACGGCCACACUGGGACUGAGACACGGCCCAGACUCCUACGGGAGGCAACAGUAGGGAAUCUUCGGCAAUGGGGGCAACCCUGACCGAGCAACGCCGCGUGAGUGAAGAAGGUUUUCGGAUCGUAAAGCUCUGUUGUAAGUCAAGAACGAGUGUGAGAGUGGAAAGUUCACACUGUGACGGUAGCUUACCAGAAAGGGACGGCUAACUACGUG